UACUGCGGGUACAAUUCGGCGGGAACAUUCGUCUCGGAGACGGCGGAGUAGUGGUGGGGGAAGUGGUUGCGCUGGUAGCAAAAGGGGCAGAUCCAGAUGAGGGCGGCGAAAUCGACGCGGGCGAAGGGAGAGAUAAUCGCGGAGCAGGUUUUGCAGUGGAGAGGAGAGUAGGGGAGAGAGAGAAUGGAGGGGUGGGGGUGGAGAGGAGAGAGAGAGGCGGCGAGAGGGAUGACGCAUUUAGAGAGUUCGACUUUGGUGCGGGGCCAGGUGUUCCAUGUCAUACGCACGCCGUCGAUGUUGGUUUGAUCGGACUCGGCCAACUCGGAGGCCAUGGAGGAAGAGGAGUCAAAGAGGGAGAGUAGAGUACUAGUAGUAGUUGUAGUCGUCACUGUUUGUGUUGUUUAUGUUAUGCUGCUCUGUAUUGGUGUUUAUGUCAUGGGAAUUGGGAGGUGCGAUGCGAAUUUGUGUGUGUUUGGUGUAUGGUUAGAUCUAGGACUAUGACGAGGUGCCGUCAACAAACCAAACUGUUUGCGAGUUACUCAAGCUAUUUGGAUGUUUUUUCGAGUCGAGCUUGAGCUUUAAAUUACUCGCCUCGCAAGGUUCGCGAGCCUUAUCGAUUCUAUACUAUUUUUUAUAUUUUUUUAUUACAAAAAUAUUUUUAUAAAAAUAUUUAAUAUUUUAUUUAUAAUUUAUAUGUUUAAUCGAAUUGAACUCGAGCCAAACCGAUCAUAUUCGAGUUUUUGUCAAUAUUUCGUGACUCGAUUCGAGUUUUCGAGUCGAACUCGAGUCUAUCGAACUGUUUACGAGCCGAGCUUCGAACUUGAAAUUAAACGCUCGGUCGAACUCGAGUUCGAGCCCCGAACAUUUUAAUUGAGCUCGAGCUUGGCAGUAUUCGACUCGGCUCGAUUACACCCCUAACCAGGAGGAAGGGACGGAGGGAUUUUUUUUAUGUUACUUUUUGGAUUCUCACAUUGACACGAAUAAUCCAUGUUUCGUUGAGCCUAAAUCAAUCGAGAUAUGUAUUCAAUCCCAUUUAUUUUUUUAUAUCUUUGUUCGGACCGAAUAUUUUUAAAUAAAAUUUAAUUCGAUCAGAUUCGUAAAAAUUAAUUUUUGUGUGGACCGAAUAGUCCAUACAAUAUAUAAUUGUUAGGUCCAUAUACGAUUGUAGAAGGGGGUUUGAAUACGAUCGAUACCAAAUAAUCGCGGAAGUGAAUCUGAUUGGAAUAUGACUUGUUAAUCAGAUUAUAAUUAAUUAAUAUAACAAUGUUUUAAGUCGUUAUAUAAUUAAUAUGGUUCAGUUUUAAUGUCCACUAAUGUUCGAAGAAUUAUUUCGACAGGGUAUAUUCUAGAUUAGUGAUUAAAACAACCGGGUUAUCAAAGUACAGAAAACUGUGGAUAUAACAAGCAAGUUACGAACAACUUAAAAGCUUUACAAAGUGAUUUGAUUUACAAAGUGAUGACCACUUAUAAAUGAAGAAUGAAUGCCAUAUUUAUACGCAAAGCAUUGAACUUGUAAGACAAAGCAAAGGAAAGACAAUUACAAGCUUGCAAAGACAAAUACAAGAGCGGCAAGACAAUAUAAGCUUGGGCAAGACAAAACAAGGCAAGGUAGGACAAUUUAGAUUGCCUACAAAGCCUUAUAACUCGCCAGAAAGACAAUUAAGUGAAGGGCAGGACAAUUUGAGGGAAGGCAGAACAAUUUGAAGGAAGGCAGGACAAUCUAUCCAAGGGCAAGACAAAUAGAGACAAGGUAGGACAAUUCUAGAUUGCCUACCAAAGUUCAACCACAAGGCAGCAAGACAAAAGAGAAGGGAAGGUAGGACAAUUUGUUUGUCUUGUCUUGUGAGAGGGAAGGUAGGACAAUUCGUUUGUCUUGUCUUGUGAGAGGGAAGGUAGGACAAUUCGUUUGUCUUGUCUUGUUUAUGUUAUGCUACUCUGUAUUGGUGUUUAUGUCAUGGGAAUUGGGAGGUGCGAUGCGAAUUUGUG
Molecule: long non-coding RNA, 1986 nt
Filed under: Daucus carota (carrot)
Lineage: Eukaryota; Viridiplantae; Streptophyta; Magnoliopsida; Apiales; Apiaceae
Description: long non-coding RNA (DCAR_LNC004803)
Source: RNAcentral